This 150-nucleotide ribosomal RNA is filed under the name Ensifer meliloti. RNAcentral's name for it is "Sinorhizobium meliloti partial 16S ribosomal RNA". Lineage: Bacteria; Pseudomonadati; Pseudomonadota; Alphaproteobacteria; Hyphomicrobiales; Rhizobiaceae. The record is from RNAcentral.
UCGCUGCCCACUGUCACCACCAUUGUAGCACGUGUGUAGCCCAGCCCGUAANCAUGAGGACUUGACGUCAUCCCCACCUUCCUCUCGGCUUAUACCGGCCAGUCCCCUUAGAGUGCCCAACUGAAUGCUGGCAACUAAGGGCGAGGGUUG